UGUUGCCUACGGGGGGCAGCAGUGGGGAAUAUUGCACAAUGGGGGAAACCCUGAUGCAGCGACGCCGCGUGAAGGAUGAAGUAUUUCGGUAUGUAAACUUCUAUCAGCAGGGAAGAAAAUGACGGUACCUGACUAAGAAGCCCCGGCUAACUACGUGCCAGCAGCCGCGGUAAUACGUAGGGGGCAAGCGUUAUCCGGAUUUACUGGGUGUAAAGGGAGCGUAGACGGUAUGGCAAGUCUGAUGUGAAAACCCGGGGCUCAACCCCGGGACUGCAUGGGAAACUGUUGGACUAGAGUGUCGGAGG
Molecule: ribosomal RNA, 305 nt
Filed under: uncultured bacterium
Lineage: Bacteria
Description: bacterial SSU rRNA
Rfam family: Bacterial small subunit ribosomal RNA
Source: RNAcentral